Molecule: non-coding RNA, 76 nt
Filed under: Palaeococcus pacificus
Lineage: Archaea; Methanobacteriati; Methanobacteriota; Thermococci; Thermococcales; Thermococcaceae
Description: Fluoride sequence
Rfam family: Fluoride riboswitch aptamer (crcB RNA motif)
Source: RNAcentral
CCUAAGCUGGGCGAUGGCGUCCGCCUGGGCUUCGAGCCCAAACCGCCCGCAAUGGGCUAAUGACGCCUGUUCUCAC